RNAcentral lists this ribosomal RNA (492 nucleotides) under uncultured Porphyrobacter sp. RNAcentral's name for it is "bacterial SSU rRNA". It matches the Rfam family "Bacterial small subunit ribosomal RNA", at positions 887 to 1382 of the family's 1533-position model. The record is from RNAcentral. Lineage: Bacteria; Pseudomonadati; Pseudomonadota; Alphaproteobacteria; Sphingomonadales; Erythrobacteraceae.
CGCCCGCUCAGAAACUUAAAGGAAUUGACGGGGGCCCGCACAAGCGGUGGAGCAUGUGGUUUAAUUCGAUGCAACCCGAAGAACCUUACCUGGGCUUGACAUUAUGGGAAAAGCCGUAGAGAUACGGUGUGCAUUUAGCGUCCAUAACAGGUGGUGCAUGGCUGUCGUCAGCUCGUGUCGUGAGAUGUUGGGUUAAGUCCCGCAACGAGCGCAACCCUCGUCCUUAGUUGCCAUCAUUAAGUUGGGCACUUUAAGGAAACUGCCGGUGAUAAGCCGGAGGAAGGUGGGGAUGACGUCAAGUCCUCAUGGCCCUUACAGGCUGGGCUACACACGUGCUACAAUGGCAUCUACAGUGGGCAGCUAUUCCGCAAGGAUGCGCUAAUCUCCAAAAGAUGUCUCAGUUCGGAUUGUCCUCUGCAACUCGAGGGCAUGAAGGCGGAAUCGCUAGUAAUCGCGGAUCAGCAUGCCGCGGUGAAUACGUUCCCAGGCCUU